Hordeum vulgare subsp. vulgare (domesticated barley) is the source of this 439-nucleotide long non-coding RNA. RefSeq lists it as uncharacterized. The record is from RefSeq and is a predicted model, not a curated record. The transcript has 2 exons. NCBI's taxonomy places the organism in Eukaryota, Viridiplantae, Streptophyta, Magnoliopsida, Poales, Poaceae.
UUGGUUUAUGUCAUUCUCCCAUGUUUAUACCUGUGGUCGAACCUUCUGCAGAAUUUGCAUGUGCUGAUGAAUGGGCCUUUCCCCAGCAACAAUAGGUGGAGGGGUCAGAAACAAUGGUAGAGACCACCCCUUCACGCGCAAGCUCCCCAAGGAGAUUUAGGUGGAGAUGAAGGAGGGAAUCAGCAACAAAACAAAGAGCAGAUGACACACCUGAUGUCAAUGAUCAACACCAUGGAAUGUUGAACAAUGGAGGCAUAGUGUUUGUGGAGUCAGCAGAUGUCACCAAGCAAGAGCUGUCAAUUUGACAUAUUGACAGACUUAGGUACAAUUUGUAGCAUCUUGUAGAUAGUCCUAGAUUUAGGUGCAAGAAUUCUGGGCCUGGUAUGGUGUAAUGACUCUUUGUAAUGUACUUAUGGUGUAAUGAUAUUGUUUCUCUCAA